UUUUUUCUUGUUUUUUUUAAGUUUUGAGAAACAAGAAACCUUUUGCUCUUCUUCUUCU
This 58-nucleotide small RNA is filed under the name Arabidopsis thaliana (thale cress). RNAcentral describes it as "ATSL249130". Lineage: Eukaryota; Viridiplantae; Streptophyta; Magnoliopsida; Brassicales; Brassicaceae. The record is from RNAcentral.